RNAcentral lists this transfer RNA (71 nucleotides) under Cavia porcellus (domestic guinea pig). It matches the Rfam family "tRNA". From Rfam's summary of the family: Transfer RNA (tRNA) molecules are approximately 80 nucleotides in length. Their secondary structure includes four short double-helical elements and three loops (D, anti-codon, and T loops). Further hydrogen bonds mediate the characteristic L-shaped molecular structure. tRNAs have two regions of fundamental functional importance: the anti-codon, which is responsible for specific mRNA codon recognition, and the 3' end, to which the tRNAs corresponding amino acid is attached (by aminoacyl-tRNA synthetases). tRNAs cope with the degeneracy of the genetic code in two manners: having more than one tRNA (with a specific anti-codon) for a particular amino acid; and 'wobble' base-pairing, i.e. permitting non-standard base-pairing at the 3rd anti-codon position. The record is from Rfam by way of RNAcentral. Lineage: Eukaryota; Metazoa; Chordata; Mammalia; Rodentia; Caviidae.
GCUCCAUGGUGUAAUGGUGAGCACUCUGGACUCUGAAUCCAGUGAUCUGAGUGGGGACCUCAGUGGAAGCU